GACGAACGCUGGCGGCGUGCUUAACACAUGCAAGUCGAACGGAAAGGCCCUUCGGGGUACUCGAGUGGCGAACGGGUGAGUAACACGUGGGUGAUCUGCCCUGCACUUUGGGAUAAGCCUGGGAAACUGGGUCUAAUACCGAAUAGGACUGCGCUCUUCAUGGGGUGUGGUGGAAAGCUUUUGCGGUGUGGGAUGGGCCCGCGGCCUAUCAGCUUGUUGGUGGGGGAAUGGCCUACCAAGGCGACGACGGGUAGCCGGCCUGAGAGGGUGACCGGCGACACUGGGACUGAGGUACGUCCCAGACUCCAACGGGAGGCAGCAGUGGGGAAUAUUGCACAAUGGGCGCAAGCCUGAUGCAGCGACGCCGCGUGAGGGAUGACGGCCUUCGGGUUGUAAACCUCUUUCAGUAGGGACGAAGCGCAAGUGACGGUACCUAUAGAAGAAGGACCGGCCAACUACGUGCCAGCCGCCGCCGUAA
Molecule: ribosomal RNA, 478 nt
Filed under: uncultured bacterium
Lineage: Bacteria
Description: partial 16S ribosomal RNA
Rfam family: Bacterial small subunit ribosomal RNA
Source: RNAcentral